AUGAGGGACCCACAGCUGCCUGCUGCCUCACACAAUAAGCAGGUGUAUUAUUUUAUUUUAUUUAUUUAUUGGCUGGUGCUGAAAAGUGGUCUUCUAGCAAUAAGAGUUCCAGAAAUCUUCCUCAUAUCUGAACAAAAAACCCCAAAACAAAUAAAAAAGAAAUUAUUAUUUCUAGAAGUUGGGAAAUCAUAAUUACGGCAGCUAAAACAUGAAAAGUGGCUUAUUUCAAUAUAAUGAAAGCAAUUACUCAGAAUGAACAAACUCUGAAAAUUUAAAAAAAAAUGACACUAAAGAAGAAGUUCAGUUUAAUAGAAAAUGAAAAGAGGUAAGAGCUCAAGAAUAGAAAUUGAAGAUGCUUUAAAUCCUAUUUAACUUUUAUUUGAACUUAACUGUUUUUCCUCUAUAAACCUCAGACAAUAAUAGAGCCACAUAUACACCCACAGACAAUUCUUCGUUGCAGUUCAAUGAGGUGCUGGAAACAUUCUUCAGUGAGUUUGAUUCAUAUUGACAUGAUAGAUUUUAUGUGGCUGCACAUCCUGAAUCUCCUGUUGCUCUGUUUGAUUGAGAUGUUUUGGCUGUGGAGGCCAUUUCAAACUGCUUCACUGAACUCAUUGUCAUGUUCAAGAAACCAGUUUGAGAUGAUUUGACCUCUGUGACAUGGUGUGUUAUCCUGCAGGAAGUAGACUCCAGGAGAUGGGUACAGUGUGGUCAUGAAGACAUCGAGAUGGUCAGAAACAACACCAAGCUGUGGCAUUUAAACAGUGCAACACCAGCCUAAACUGGUGCUACACGAUGCAAGGGACCCACACUUUUGUGUUUUUUACACCAAAUUGUGACUCAACAACGUGAACGCCACAGCAGAAAUACAGACUUAGUCCAGACAAUGUUUUUUUUUUUUUUUUCAGAUCAUCUAUUGUUCAUUAUUUUAGCUGAUCGGAGUGGUGCCUGGUGUGGUCUUCUGCCUCUGUAGCCCAUGUGCUUCACGGUUUGAUGUGUUGUACAAUCAGAGACGAUCUUCUGCAUACCCUGGUUGUAAUGAGUGGUUGUUUGAGUUACUCUUGCCUUCUUAUUUGCUUGAAGCAGUCUGGCCGUUCUCCCCUGUCACCAAAAAAGCUUUUUACCCAGAGAAUGGCCGCUCAUUAGAUAUUUUCUGUUUUUUGGACCAUUCUCUAAAAACCCUACAGGUAAAUGUGAAGGAAAAUCCCAGCAGAUCAGCAGUUUCUGAAACACUCAGACCAGCCCACAACAACUCUACAUUCAAAGUAACAUUUUCACCACAAUUCUGUUACUCUGAUUCAACCCUAGUAAGUCAUCUUGACCAUGUCUACAUGCCUAAAUGCAAUUAGUUUCAGCCAUGCUCAGCUGAUUACAUUUAGGUUAAGGAGCAGCUAAACAGGUGUACCUAACAGAGUGGCCAGUCAUUGUAUUUGUUUUAACAAAACAUCUCAGAUAUACAAUACAAUGCAAAAGUUUUAGGCAGCUAAGAAAAAAUGCUGUAAACAAAGAAUGCUUUGAGAAACAUAAAUGAUUGUUUAUUGGGCCCAAAUGUAUUCUGGAGCAGAACAACGACCCCAAACAUACAGCUAAAGUCAUUUGGAACUAUCUUCAGCAUAAAGAAGAACAAGAAGUUGUGAUGGCAUGGAGUCCGCAGAGCCCUGAUCUCAACAUCAUCGAGUGUGUCUGGGAUUACACGAGGAGACAGAAGGAUGUGAGGAUGCCUACAUCCACAGAAGAUCUGUGGUUAGUUCUCCAAGAUGUUCGGAACAACCUACCAGCCGAGUUCCUUCAAAAACUGUGUGCAAGUGUAGAACUGAUGCUGUU
Long non-coding RNA from Astatotilapia calliptera (eastern happy), 1821 nucleotides. The record is from Ensembl. NCBI's taxonomy places the organism in Eukaryota, Metazoa, Chordata, Actinopteri, Cichliformes, Cichlidae.